CUGCUGCCUCCCGUAGGGGUCUGGUCCGUGUCUCAGUACCAGUGUGGGGGACCUUCCUCUCAGAACCCCUACGCAUCGUCGCCUUGGUGGGCCGUUACCCCGCCAACAAGCUAAUGCGACGCAUGACCAUCCGUAGCCGGAAUCGCUUCCUUUAAACCCACAGAGAUGCCUCCAUGGGUUGUUACGCGGUAUUAGACGGAAUUUCUUCCGCUUAUCCCCCUGCUACGGGCAGGUUUCAUACGUGUUACUCACCCGUGCGCCGGUCGCCGGCGGGAG
RNAcentral lists this ribosomal RNA (276 nucleotides) under uncultured bacterium. RNAcentral describes it as "partial 16S ribosomal RNA". The record is from RNAcentral.